AUUGAACGCUGGCGGCAGGCUUAACACAUGCAAGUCGAGCGGGGGAAGGUAGCUUGCUACUGGACCUAGCGGCGGACGGGUGAGUAAUGCUUAGGAAUCUGCCUAUUAGUGGGGGACAACAUCUCGAAAGGGAUGCUAAUACCGCAUACGUCCUACGGGAGAAAGCAGGGGAUCUUCGGACCUUGCGCUAAUAGAUGAGCCUAAGUCGGAUUAGCUAGUUGGUGGGGUAAAGGCCUACCAAGGCGACGAUCUGUAGCGGGUCUGAGAGGAUGAUCCGCCAAACUGGGACUGGGACACGGCCCAGACUCCUACGGGAGGCAGCAGUGGGGAAUAUUGGACAAUGGGGGGAACCCUGAUCUAGCCAUGCCGCGUGUGUGAAGAAGGCCUUAUGGUUGUAAAGCACUUUAAGCGAGGAGGAGGCUACUCUAGUUAAUACCUAGGGAUAGUGGACGUUACUCGCAGAAUAAGCACCGGCUAACUCUGUGCCAGCCGCCGCCGUAA
Molecule: ribosomal RNA, 501 nt
Filed under: uncultured bacterium
Lineage: Bacteria
Description: partial 16S ribosomal RNA
Rfam family: Bacterial small subunit ribosomal RNA
Source: RNAcentral